UUCCUCACUGCUCUCUGAUUUCAUCAGCCCCAAUCGAUCCUCCCCACAAGGACCAGAGUAUUCCGCCCAGAGAACCACUUUCAAUGUACUAGCCCCCAGACGACAGAUCUUGUACUAGUGCCCCCACGGACCCUGUAAUCAUUCUAAGUCUUAGUUUCCUCUUCUACACCCCAGGGGUGUUACAAGGAACAGAUGCAGUAACAUCUAUAAAAUAACACGUACCCAGAAAGAACUCAAUAGAUGGUAGCUGUUUUUGUUACUACUAUAUAAGAAGUGGUCAUAAGCUUGAAAAUGGGAAGACUGCUAAGCUUGUGACUAGAAUAGACUUGCUUGGGCAUUUUUAGCAUUUUGUCCCUCUUCCAUCAGAUGUUCCUUAUCACAUUGACUGUUUACAUAUUUGUCACUUACAUGUUUAUAAACUGUAGACACUGGCACUUUGAGAACAAGAGGUUUCAUUCAUGCAGCAAAUAUUUGCUGAGCGCCUUCUCUAUGCUCCCGACCACUGUAGGCAUCAGGAAUAUAACGGUGAAUGGAACAGACGGCCUGGUCUCUCUGGAAGCUUAAUAUCUGGUGAUUGUAUUUUAUUUAUACUUGUGGCCCCAGGAAAUACCCUCCUAUUUUAUAGAAGGAAAUGGUAAUAAGCACAGAGGUCUCUAACAUCUGAAGUGAAACCUGUGUUGGGCAUGGUGGCUACCUGUAGUUCAUCAUUAAGUGUUCUGUGGUUUGGAAAUAGACCUUGAAUUACAUGAUGAGUAAUGGCCAAAAGCAGUCAGGGAGAAGAGGUUGUCAUAGCUCGUCUCAGAGUGGAAAUGGUUGGGCAGUGAUGUAAUAAGUUGAUGAUUGCCUGCUCACUUCCUGGGGAGGCACAAGAGUGAGUGGGCACAGACCUCUGUUCCGGGGGCCCCUGACCUGGUGAAGUGGUGAGCGGAGGGCUGUGCUCACCGGCUCUCCCUUCAGAGGAGAACAAACUGCCAUCUGCCACCAGCACACCUGCCUGUCACAUCCGCUGUUGAAUACCAAGACAGCUGCUACCAAGUUGGACUGUAAGAUGUGUUUCGCUUCAGACCCACGGCCUGAAUUUUCAGGGCUGCUCUUAAGUGCCUGUGAUACAAGAUUGUUGCCAGUAGUUUGGAGAGGUCCUAAAGGCUGUUAAAUAAGCUCAUGAUUACAGAACAUCAGUGAAGAACCAUCUUCCAGCCUGGUAUUUGGUCUCCAGAGCAUGAACAGUUGAAGGACACAACAAGGCUGGUUCUUCCUGUGACAGUCCGAGUCACAGUCCGCCUCAGCAGAUCUCCUAGUAGGACUUCAGCUUCCUUGGACCGAGGGCAUGUGCUUCUCAAUGUGUGGGGCAAAGUGCUGUGAAGUAGACUCAAAGGUUUGAACCAUGUUAGAACUGAAAGGGGAAUGUAGACAUAAACUCCAGAACAUUCCAUUUGUAGAAGUAGAAAAGUGACAUCCAGCCAGACUGUAACCAGUGAAAUGAGGUAACUAAUACAGGUAACUAAUGAGGUAACUAAUACUAAUAAUAUAUAAGCAUUAUACCAGCUUCUACCUUUUUUUUUUAAAAGAUCUUAUUUAUUUGAGAGAG
Molecule: non-coding RNA, 1588 nt
Organism: Callorhinus ursinus (northern fur seal)
Lineage: Eukaryota; Metazoa; Chordata; Mammalia; Carnivora; Otariidae
Source: RefSeq, a predicted model, not a curated record